This 466-nucleotide ribosomal RNA is filed under the name uncultured bacterium. Its description in RNAcentral is "partial 16S ribosomal RNA". It matches the Rfam family "Bacterial small subunit ribosomal RNA", at positions 28 to 507 of the family's 1533-position model. The record is from RNAcentral.
GACGAACGCUGGCGGCGUGCUUAACACAUGCAAGUCGAACGGAAAGGCCCUGCUUUUGUGGGGUGCUCGAGUGGCGAACGGGUGAGUAACACGUGAGUAACCUGCCCUUGACUUUGGGAUAACUUCAGGAAACUGGGGCUAAUACCGGAUAGGAGCUCCUGCUGCAUGGUGGGGGUUGGAAAGUUUCGGCGGUUGGAUGGACUCGCGGCUUAUCAGCUUGUUGGUGGGGUAGUGGCUUACCAAGGCUUUGACGGGUAGCCGGCCUGAGAGGGUGACCGGCCACAUUGGGACUGAGAUACGGCCCAGACUCCUACGGGAGGCAGCAGUGGGGAAUAUUGCACAAUGGGCGGAAGCCUGAUGCAGCAACGCCGCGUGCGGGAUGACGGCCUUCGGGUUGUAAACCGCUUUCGCCUGUGACGAAGCGUGAGUGACGGUAAUGGGCAAAGAAGCACCGGCUAACUACGUG